RNAcentral lists this ribosomal RNA (252 nucleotides) under uncultured bacterium. Its description in RNAcentral is "partial 16S ribosomal RNA". It matches the Rfam family "Bacterial small subunit ribosomal RNA", at positions 524 to 776 of the family's 1533-position model. The record is from RNAcentral.
UACGUAGGUGACAAGCGUUGUCCGGAUUUACUGGGCGUAAGAGCGCGCAGGCGGUCGUGCAAGUCGCGUGUGAAAGCCCCCGGCUCAACUGGGGAGGGUCACGCGAUACUGCUCGACUCGAAGACAGGAGAGGGAAGUGGAAUUCCCGGUGUAGUGGUGAAAUGCGUAGAUAUCGGGAGGAACGCCAGUGGCGAAGGCGACUUCCUGGCCUGUUCUUGACGCUGAGGCGCGAAAGCUAGGGGAGCAAACGGG